This 548-nucleotide unclassified non-coding RNA is filed under the name Atta cephalotes. RNAcentral describes it as "misc RNA LOC105623065". The record is from RNAcentral. Lineage: Eukaryota; Metazoa; Arthropoda; Insecta; Hymenoptera; Formicidae.
CGUCGACGGUCACCACCACCGCCACUAGCAAUAAUCACCGGAACGGUGGUUCGGUGGUAGCGAAACCGCUGCUCGCUGCAGUCUCCUGAAGGCUUGGGCCUCCAACUGCCACCCGAUACUGGUCCUCCGAUCCAUAAAGACGUCCAGUCGUGCUGCAGAGUGCUGAAAUGUCGGAAAUAGAAGGUGAGGGCCUCUUUACGAGCUCUGUCACGACCAUGUUGCUUGAGUAUCAUCGUAGAUAGAUAAACAAGUGUCAGUGGAAGAAGUCACGGGAACAAGAGUAAUUCAGCGUAUGCGUGCAAAAAUAUUCGCAGGACGCUUCGGAGCAGGAUGAUACACAAGAUGAAACUACGGAAACAACGGAAGUUGACCAUGAGGUAGCAAGCAAGAUAGAGGAAUCGGAUAACUCAGAGUUGUCAGAAAAAUCAUUUACGAAGGAAACAGAGGAGGAACGAGAGGAAGUUAAUGACAAGAAACAAGAGGAAGUUAAGGAGAAGGAUCGAGAAGAAGUAAAAGCGACCGAACAAGAAGAAAUAAAGGAACAAAAA